GUAGGUGGCAAGCGUUGUCCGGAAUUAUUGGGCGUAAAGCGCGCGCAGGUGGUUCUUUAAGUCUGAUGUGAAAGCCCCCGGCUCAACCGGGGAGGGUCAUUGGAAACUGGGGAACUUGAGUGCAGGAGAGGAAAGUGGAAUUCCACGUGUAGCGGUGAAAUGCGUAGAUAUGUGGAGGAACACCAGUGGCGAAGGCGACUUUCUGGCCUGUAACUGACACUGAGGCGCGAAAGCGUGGGGAGCAAACAAGAUUAGAUACCCUGGUAGUCCACGCCGUAAACGAUGAGUGCUAAGUGUUGGGGGGUUUCCGCCCCUCAGUGCUGCAGCUAACGCAUUAAGCACUCCGCCUGGGGAGUACGGUCGCAAAGACUG
This 372-nucleotide ribosomal RNA is filed under the name uncultured organism. RNAcentral's name for it is "partial 16S ribosomal RNA". It matches the Rfam family "Bacterial small subunit ribosomal RNA", at positions 527 to 896 of the family's 1533-position model. The record is from RNAcentral.